CCUACGGGUGGCAGCAGUAGGGAAUCUUUCACAAUGGGCGAAAGCCUGAUGCAGCAACGCCGCGUGCAGGAUGAAGGCCUUCUGGUUUUAAACUGCUUUUAUAAGCGAGAAAUAUGAUGGUAACUUAUGAAUAAGGAUCGGCUAACUACGUGCCAGCAGCCGCGGUCAUACGUAGGAUCCGAGCAUUAUCCGGAGUGACUGGGUGUAAAGAGUUUCGUAGGUGGCAUAAUAAGUAGCUAGUGAAAUCUGGUGGCUCAAACAUUUAGACUAUUAUCGAAACUGUUAAGCUCGAGACCGUUAGGGGUAACUGGAAUUCCUAGUGUAGGAGUGAAAUGCGUAGAUAGUAGAAGGAACACCAAUAGCGUAGGCAGGUUACUGGGACGGUUCUGACACUAAGGCACGAAAGCGUAGGGAGCAAACGGGAUUAGAUACCCCAGUAGUC
RNAcentral lists this ribosomal RNA (442 nucleotides) under uncultured bacterium. RNAcentral's name for it is "partial 16S ribosomal RNA". It matches the Rfam family "Bacterial small subunit ribosomal RNA", at positions 338 to 795 of the family's 1533-position model. The record is from RNAcentral.